RNAcentral lists this ribosomal RNA (389 nucleotides) under Chlorocebus sabaeus (green monkey). Its description in RNAcentral is "12S ribosomal RNA". It matches the Rfam family "Bacterial small subunit ribosomal RNA", at positions 794 to 1384 of the family's 1533-position model. The record is from RNAcentral. Lineage: Eukaryota; Metazoa; Chordata; Mammalia; Primates; Cercopithecidae.
GCUUAGCCCUAAACCUCAGUAGUUAAACCAACAAAACUACUCGCCAGAAUACUACAAGCAACCGCUUGAAACUCAAAGGACUUGGCGGUGCUUCACCCCCCUAGAGGAGCCUGUCCCAUAAUCGAUAAACCCCGAUCCACCCUACCCUCUCUUGCUCAGCCUAUAUACCGCCAUCUUCAGCAAACCCUGAUAAAGGUCACAAAGUGAGCGCAAGUACCCCUUUUCGCAAAAACGUUAGGUCAAGGUGUAGCCUAUGAGACGGAAAAAGAUGGGCUACAUUUUCUAUCCUAGAAAACCCACGAUAACUCUCAUGAAACCUAAGAGUCCAAGGAGGAUUUAGCAGUAAAUUAAGAAUAGAGUGCUUAAUUGAACAAGGCCAUAAAGCACGC